AGCGAACGCUGGCGGCGUGCUUAACACAUGCAAGUCGAACGUGAAAGUAGCAAUAUGAGUAAAGUGGCGUACGGGUGAGUAACACGUGGGUAAUCUACCUUAGAGUCUGGAAUAACGUGCCGAAAGGCGCGCUAAUACUGGAUAGUUCAAGCGCAUUAUAAAGGUGCGAUUGGGAAAGGGAGCUCGUAAGAGCCUUCGCUUUAGGAUGAGCCCGCGUCUGAUUAGCUAGUUGGUGAGGUAAUGGCUCACCAAGGCGACGAUCAGUAGCUGGUCUGAGAGGAUGAUCAGCCACACUGGAACUGAAACACGGUCCAGACUCCUACGGGAGGCAGCAGUGGGGAAUCUUGCGCAAUGGACGAAAGUCUGACGCAGCCACGCCGCGUGAGUGAAGAAGGCCUCGGUGUAAGACUCUGUCGAGGGACAAAACGUUACGGUUAAUAGCCGUAGAUCUUGUAUGGUACCUUUAAGGUAAGCACCGGCGUAACUUCGUG
This 491-nucleotide ribosomal RNA is filed under the name uncultured bacterium. Its description in RNAcentral is "bacterial SSU rRNA". It matches the Rfam family "Bacterial small subunit ribosomal RNA", at positions 29 to 507 of the family's 1533-position model. The record is from RNAcentral.